Trifolium pratense (red clover) is the source of this 710-nucleotide long non-coding RNA. RefSeq lists it as uncharacterized. The record is from RefSeq and is a predicted model, not a curated record. The transcript is spliced from 4 exons. NCBI's taxonomy places the organism in Eukaryota, Viridiplantae, Streptophyta, Magnoliopsida, Fabales, Fabaceae.
AUAUUGAACGCGCGGGGUUAUUGCCCUCCUUAAUUUUUUGCUUAUUUUGAUUUUGAUUUCCGAAAAUAAUAAGAAAAAAAACUCAAAAGAUCUCAAACCCUAACAUCAUCACAUUCUCUUUCCCAUCGCUUAAUCCUUCGGUCUCCCACUGAAUCGACCGCCGCUCUCUCCCACUGAGUCGACCGCCGCUCUCUUUCCCAUCUCUUUCCCGCCGCUCUUUCCCAUCGCUUUCUUCGCGAGAUCUUUUUCACAGGUUCAGAUUUUUGGAGCUGGUGUUCGUUUCUUCUCUGCUGGCUUAUUAAUGUCAAUUGACAUUGGAGAACUUGGCAUUUCCUAUUAGCAAGAAAGGGGCAUAGUCGCCAAAAUCAAGUUAGCAUUCAUUAAUUCUCAACUCCAAGCAGGUUCCAAAUGCUUCCAGUAUCUCUGAUAUAACGAAUUCUGCAAGUAUCCAAACACUAAUGAACACUACAAGAAAAUUGCCCUAUACCCAUAGCAAUUUGGAUGUAAUCGGUCCAAAUGCUUAUGUUCCAGCUACAUCCUUAGUUUAGGCCAUUUGGAGGAACUGCAAACUUGGCAUCAGUUCAUUUAUCUUAUCAAUCAAUUAUGUUAUAAUUUUUGUCAAUGCACCGAUCUAGAAUAUGAAAUGGUUUUACUAGUCUUUUAGAGUUAUUGAUCUUCUCAUCAAUCUCACAAAUUUAUAUAAUUGGUUG